This 301-nucleotide ribosomal RNA is filed under the name uncultured bacterium. RNAcentral describes it as "partial 16S ribosomal RNA". It matches the Rfam family "Bacterial small subunit ribosomal RNA", at positions 509 to 807 of the family's 1533-position model. The record is from RNAcentral.
CAGUAGCCACGGUAAUACAGAGGGUGCAAGCGUUAAUCGGAAUUACUGGGCGUAAAGCGUGCGUAGGCGGCUUCUUAAGUCGGAUGUGAAAUCCCUGAGCUUAACUUAGGAAUUGCAUUCGAUACUGGGAAGCUAGAGUAUGGGAGAGGAUGGUAGAAUUCCAGGUGUAGCGGUGAAAUGCGUAGAGAUCUGGAGGAAUACCGAUGGCGAAGGCAGCCAUCUGGCCUAAUACUGACGCUGAGGUACGAAAGCAUGGGGAGCAAACAGGAUUAGAUACCCGCGUAGUCCCUGUCUCUUAUAC